This is a long non-coding RNA of Aethalodelphis obliquidens (Pacific white-sided dolphin), 2614 nucleotides long. RefSeq lists it as uncharacterized. The record is from RefSeq and is a predicted model, not a curated record. The transcript has 3 exons. NCBI's taxonomy places the organism in Eukaryota, Metazoa, Chordata, Mammalia, Artiodactyla, Delphinidae.
UGGGAUCUUCCCAGACCAGGGAUCGAACCCGUGUCCCCUGCAUUGGCAGGCAGAUUCUCAACCACUGGGCCACCAGAGAAGCCCGACUUAUCACUUUUGAUUUUGACCUUGAUCACCCGGAUGAAAUAUUAUUUGUCACGUUUCUCCACUGUAAAGUUACUCCCUGCACACCGGCCUCCCCCAUUCUGCCCUCUUUGGAUGGAAAUCACUAUGCACAGCCUACACUCAAGGAAUCAGGAGACAGGCUUCGCCUCUGUGAGGGUGGAGUAUCUACAUAGUUUAUGUGGAAGUCUUCUGAACCACAGCCUUUUCUUUCUAGGAAUGUGUACUUGCGAUGGCUGAGUCAGCAAGCCAGGUUGGUACAGCCCUUCCCAGUGUGUGGUCCUGUGGACCCCCAUCUGUUGCUGUGAACAUUUAAGGCUGUGUAGAUUUAGUAUUUAGUAAAGUGAAAGCUCCGAGUCCUAACCAUUGCACCACCAGGAAAUUCCCUUAAUGUGCUUUUUUAAGGGCAUCACUUUGGGAAAAAAGUCAUUAUAUAUUGUAUUUUGUGCACAUAAUUGAAGGAAGAACUGUAUCACCAGAUCAAGGAUGAAGCUGUCUUCAAGAACAACCUGAACAGAAACUGAAUGAUGCCCGGAUUCUCAUCUCUCUCUCUCUCCACCUUCUGUAAGCUUUCACUUUGAACUUACGGUGAUGGUGGGGUGGGGGGAGAGGCAGGGGAAGAAUCUACUAUACAAAGAUCAAGAACUUUGGGGGUCAUUCAAAACUAGGUUCAGAUUCGGUUUUGCAAACUUAACUUGGACAUGUUAUUUAAUGGCUCAGAAGGGAUAAAGGUCUGCUCAGUAACAACUCUCUCUCAGGCUUUUUGGGGAGAAUUACGUGUAAUGAUAUACAUAGGCACUUCGCAUAGCAGCUGCCCUUAGUAGCCACUCAGUACAAAGUAUUGUUAUUAUUAUAAAUUUAAGAUAUUAUUUGAUGACAAGGCUUUCUUGCCUGCUCUUCUACCAUCCCCCUGGCUGAAAAGCAAGCAUGCAAAAAGUGCAAAGAUCAGCUUUAAUAGAUUCUAAGACGCCAUCAGUUGUAAGAUGGGUCAUUAUUUUAUGUACCACUGCAAAACAAAACAAAAUAUGCUGCCAAUUGUACUGUGGCUCACUUUCUUAUCACUUGAAGUUUCUAUUUUACACUUCUUGAAAAAGCUUUUUUAGACUUAUGUAGAUGUACAUUAUCAAAUAUCACUCUUGUGCACACAUAAACAGGAAGAUAUAACCAAAAUAACUAAAGUAGUCCUAAAACAACUUCACAUUCUGUGUCUGUCGACUGUGAAUCAUACAUCAACUCGGAGGCACUGGUGUCUGUUUUUUCACUGGUGUCUGUUUUUGUCAUCCUUUGUUCCAACGAAAGCAUCAGUGAGACAGUAUUUCUUAAAAAAAAAAGAUGCUCCACUAAUGCUAGAAUUCUAGAACUUUUUCCAAGUUGCUGAUACCCAUUCUGCCAUUCUGCAAAUUUUGAUGCUGCUAUUUUCAUGAUCUCACCAGAAAUCAAGUCAUCAAGGAAAACAACCAAAUUAAUGCACGUGCAAGCCACAUCAGUCUUCUCUGCUGCCUGGCCAAUGGCCAAUAGAAGGUACCAUCCAUGGUAUAAAGCUUUUCAAUUCCAGAGAUGUUAAAAUGUAAAAAACUAUGUGCAUCUAAGAAUUGAUGUACAAAUGGUAGAUGGUCUAUGUCAUUACACAUUCCUCACCUAGCAGAAAAGUCAUCAUAAAAUUAUUUGUAAUAGUGAGCUCAUCUAGUGCAUUAAUAAUAUUUGAAUAAUUGCUCUUUAGUUUGUAUAAAAUGAGGUGUACUUGUAUCGGUCUUUUUUUUUUUUUUUUUUUACAUCAACAGACAAUGGUAGGCUGAGCUUUUAGGCGAAAAACAACUUGCCCUGAGUGAAGGGAUGGUCUUCUUCAUUUGUAUUAACAUCUUACUCACAGAGAGACAAGUUGGUGCCAUUUGAAGAUACUUGAAACCUGCAGCUUUUUCUUGCCAAGAUUUGUUGUUAUACAUAAAAAUCAAGCAGCAGCAAGGUUUCAAUAUUUCAGUUAUUUCAAGAAUAAUUCCCUUCAGCUUUCAAGUCGAGGGCAUACUCAGGUCAAAUUCAGAAAAAUGAAGAAAUCUUAUAAAAAUAUUAUACACUUUCUGUUCCCACCAAUACUCUUUUUAAAAAAUUGAGAUAUAUUAUACAUAAAAUAAAAUGCACAGUUCUUAAAAGUUAAAUGGCAUAAACUCAUGCAACUACCACCCCAAUCAAGAAAUAGAAUGUUUCUAUCGUGACAAAAAGUUCCCUGGGCCUCUCUCCCAUCAAUCCCCCGUCCCUUCAACAUAAUCUAUCUUUUAACUUAAAUCAUGGGUCAACAACAUGUUGAAGUAUCAGAAAAAGAAAAGAGAAAAGAAAAGAAUCUUUUUAAAUGAUCAUGAGUUACACAGUGGAAAAUCUGAGUCCCAUAACUUCGAAUUAAUUACUACAGCUGCAUUGUUAUAUAUAAUACCCUGUUGUCAAGUGACAUUUUUAUUUUUAAAAUAAUGAGUAUUGGGCUUUCCUGGUGGCGCAGUGGUUGAGGGUCCGCCUGCUGAUG